RNAcentral lists this long non-coding RNA (607 nucleotides) under Homo sapiens (human). Its description in RNAcentral is "non-protein coding lnc-RAD18-3:1". The record is from RNAcentral. Lineage: Eukaryota; Metazoa; Chordata; Mammalia; Primates; Hominidae.
GCCUUGUCAAUUUUUUUUUAUUGUGUCGAAAAGCACAUCACAUAAAAUUUACUAUCUUAACCGUUUUAAAUGCACAGUUCAAUGACGUUAAAUACAUUGAUAAUGUUGUGCAACCGUCACCACCAUCCAUCUCCAGAACACUUUUCAUCUUGUAGGACUGGAACUGCACCCAGUGAACAGGAACUCCCUGUUCCUCCCCCAUUCCCUGGCAAUCACCAGUCUACUUUCUGUUUCCGUGGUUUUGGCUCCUCUAGGCAUCUCGUGUGAGCGGACUCAUACAAUAUUUGUCCUCUGUGUCUGCUGUAGUUUAGUUAGCGUAAUGCUUCAGGGUUCAUCCGUGUUGAGGCGUGUGUCAGAAUUCCCUUCCUUUUUAAGGCGGAGUAAUAUCCCAUUGUAUGCGUAGAGGCCGCAUCACGUUCAUCCGCUCCUCUGGGGAGGGACACUUGGGUGGCUUCCGUGGUGUGGCUCAUGUGCUGCGGUCUUGUCAGUUUUUAGCCAUGGCUCGGGAAAGUGACUUGGCCCCUCAGUACCUCCGUUUCCUCAUCCAUUACAUCGGAGCCUGUCCUCUACGUGGGACUGAAAGAUGGCGUCUUGCUGUGUUGCUUGG